This 1207-nucleotide long non-coding RNA is filed under the name Parus major (Great Tit). RNAcentral describes it as "lncRNA (ENSPMJG00000015529.1)". The record is from RNAcentral. Lineage: Eukaryota; Metazoa; Chordata; Aves; Passeriformes; Paridae.
UUUAUGAUUCUUUCUCUUUUUUUCUUUUUUUUCUUUUUUUUAAUUUUUUUUUCUCUUUCCUCCACACCCACACUUACCUCUCCUCCUAAUAAUUUAAAGGAUCUGAGACUUGUAAGAGCAAUAGCAUUCUAUGACUCAGAGGAAAUCGUGUGUGCAGUCCUGGACAAAGGCAGUGGAAGAGGGGUUAAAGUCGGUGCCCAGCCACAUCAGAACUUCAGCCAGAUGAAUUCACUGCUUGGGAGCAACUAGAGAGCGGUGCGGGUGGCCCUGCAGGCGUCCUUUUCACUAGGACCUUGAGCUGAACUUUUUUCAGGUCUUUCUCUGAGGCAAAAGCUUGUCAGGGAAUGUCUCCUUUCUGCCCUGCCACCCUCAAGUCCUAGACCACCCUGGGUGUAAAGCUGGCCUUACAAAGCUUCCCCUGAGACCAGCGUGGGCAUCGCACAGUGAAUACGUCUGAAUACAUAGUGAAUAUCACCAUGUGAUAAUCCAGUCCCUGCACACUGUGCUGAAAUUUAGGGAACUUGGUGUCACUUUGGUGCCUGCCACCAGUCUGUUGGGAGACCCUGGGUCAUGCAUCAUGCAGUACCUCAGUUUCCCUGUCUUUAAAAUGUUGGUAAUCAUCACUACUUCAUUUGUGAUGAACUUUGGAGAUGUAUGAAAAAUGCACGGUGAGAAACUGGUGCUUUUAUCAGGUGUGGUAAUCUGUAGGUGAGCUGGUACCACACAGCCCAAAAACACCCUGUAACAAGGUGACUGGCCUUGCUGGGACUAUGGCCACAAGGCUGGGUCAAUAGCAGCGCCACAGUCACUGCACAUGUGACAUCAAGAUCUGCACUUUUCUGCUGUGCCUGUGGACCUCGCUUGGCAAGCUGGGCAACUGUUGGAGUAGGUUCAAUUUUGAUUGCCCAGAGGUGGCAGCCCUUGUGGGUGAAGAAAAUUCAUCUUUGCAGUGAAGCUGAGCCACAAGACCUCCAAGAAAAGUGAUUUCUGCAGUUUUUCUGAUGAGAGCUACUUGAUUAAAGUGUGACAAACUGAUUGCUUAUGUUCAUGAGCCUGAGCUGUGCUUUGUUCUGCAGCUGCAGGUGAGGCUGACACUAUGAAAUGAAACUAUCACCUUUUUUAAGUUUAAGCUCAGGUAACCAGCAGUGGCAAUUGCACUGUCUGUUAUUUGUCCCCAUCCUCUCCAUAAUGUUUAACCUACCUGUCA